RNAcentral lists this transfer RNA (72 nucleotides) under Loxodonta africana (African savanna elephant). It matches the Rfam family "tRNA". Rfam says of the family: Transfer RNA (tRNA) molecules are approximately 80 nucleotides in length. Their secondary structure includes four short double-helical elements and three loops (D, anti-codon, and T loops). Lineage: Eukaryota; Metazoa; Chordata; Mammalia; Proboscidea; Elephantidae. The record is from Rfam by way of RNAcentral.
GCCCUGGUGGCACAAUGGUUAAGUGCUCAGCUGCUAACUGAAAGGUUGGUGGUUCGAGCCCACCCAGUGGCU